Molecule: long non-coding RNA, 851 nt
Filed under: Homo sapiens (human)
Lineage: Eukaryota; Metazoa; Chordata; Mammalia; Primates; Hominidae
Description: HSALNT0400643
Source: RNAcentral
GGUGGCAUUUGGUUGCCUUUCCUGGGGAGAGGCGGCAGGUGCUCAGCUCUGCAGACGUGGGGGCAAGAGAAGGCCCAAGCUGCCUCGAGAAGAGCAGAGGUGCCCCAUGGGGACCAUGAUGACCGGUCGCAUGUGCCAAAGCCAGCCCCCGGCAGGGCCAGCGCAGGGUUUCUGCGGGGCCGUCCUGUGGCUCUGAUAUCUAUGAGUGGGUGGCCAGCAAAGGCACAGGCACCAGCAGAAAGGAGCAGAGAUGCCCAGAACAUGCUGUCCCCCAAUGCCAGCCCCAAGCGAGGCCAGCUUAGGGUGCGGUGGGCAGAGCCAUCCUGCAGCUCUGAGAUCCACGAAGUGGAGGUGGGAGUAGCGCCAGGCUCCACGGCGUUGGAGCUCUCACAACUUGAGCUCAAUUUUAUUCCGGAGCCAUGACCUGCAGCACAUUGGUGACCAGAAGACGCCCAAAGCUUUGAAAAUGGACUUAUCGACCUCAAACCAAUGGGACAUAUUCCUACAUGGCCUUCUCCCCUGUUAGGGUUCCCAGGGUAUGUCUUUAAUGUCUGGUUUAAUAGAAGAAGACUUGGUUCUCCUUUCUGCUUCUAUGUUUAAUUUCUUGUGACAUCCCACGUCAGGUAGCUGGGAAACUCCAAUUAUACUUGUGAGAGAAUGAAAGUGGAAAAGCUGGGCAGAUGUGCCUGAGACAGGUUUGACCAGGCAACUGAAAAGAUAUCCCUAAGAGAAGACAAAGCAAAGGUAUGAAAGGAACACACGUCCCUGACUGACUAGGAGGAACAGAGCUGCCUGCUGUCUGGAACCGCUUCCUCCCAGACUAAGAGAGAAAUAAACUUCUGUUUUCUAUA